Drosophila melanogaster (fruit fly) is the source of this 426-nucleotide non-coding RNA. NCBI's taxonomy places the organism in Eukaryota, Metazoa, Arthropoda, Insecta, Diptera, Drosophilidae. The record is from Ensembl.
ACAUUCUGGCCAAUGUUGGGGGCUAAGACUGAAAUCGUGCAAUUGAGGACCCGGGAAAAUGGGGGGUUCGAAAGCAAUUAAGGAAACUGCAGUAUGCCAAAGGGAGACGAAGGCCUAGCCUAAGCAACAUAAUCGCCAAAACGUGCGGCAAUUACACGGUAGCUGGAGGAAUUGAAUGCCAAACAUCUGCUGCUCCUCCCGUCUCCGUAUAAUUUGCACUCGGCCCAAGCAAAUUCAAUUAACAAACGAUGCGGACACGUGCCGCAUCCAAGUCGAUGACGCAAUGUCGAUGCCACAAUCGCUGACUAUAAAAACACCAGCAAAUACAACAACAAGCCCAGUACUUCACGUGAAGAGCCCACUCAGACCUGAACUUGGACUAACUCAUUACGAGGAACAUCAGCUAUAUAUAUAAUAUAUGUAAAU